Molecule: transfer RNA, 49 nt
Filed under: Euphlyctis cyanophlyctis (skittering frog)
Lineage: Eukaryota; Metazoa; Chordata; Amphibia; Anura; Dicroglossidae
Description: partial tRNA-Val
Source: RNAcentral
GCACCUCGCUUACACCGAGAAGAUAUCUGUGCGACUCGGAUCAUUUUGA